GGGAUUGUGGCUUAGUGGUAGAGCGCUCGCCUAGCAAGCUUGAGGCACAGAGUUCGAGCCUCAGUACCA
Molecule: transfer RNA, 69 nt
Filed under: Urocitellus parryii (Arctic ground squirrel)
Lineage: Eukaryota; Metazoa; Chordata; Mammalia; Rodentia; Sciuridae
Also listed under: 1 other name
Description: Spermophilus parryii (Arctic ground squirrel) tRNA
Rfam family: tRNA
About the family: Transfer RNA (tRNA) molecules are approximately 80 nucleotides in length. Their secondary structure includes four short double-helical elements and three loops (D, anti-codon, and T loops).
Source: Rfam by way of RNAcentral